AGACUUUAAAAUAAUUUUUCAUAAUUUAUUUGGUAUUUUUAAUAAUUAAAAACUAAUUUUUCUAAUUUUUAAAUUAAUUUCCGGAAAAUCAGAAAUAAAAAUAAUUAAAACUGUCGCUAAAGGCCCCUAUAGUGACAGAACCGUCGCUAUAGGUGUUCUUGAGCCUACCCAGAUCUUCAUAAGGCAGAACCGAGUGGGCUACUUUGACUGUGAAUAAAUCUCUCAUCGUAACGAAUUUGGACAAUCUAUAAAUUGGGCCUUGUAGAGGAAAUACAAGACUACAAGAUCCAAGAAACAUAACCUCUAAAAAACAUCAGAUCUGGGAGAAAACGAACCUCAAAGUAGCUGCCAAAGCUGUUCUUCACGAAAAACAGCUUCGAGGUGCCUACUUUGGACCUCUAUAACUUAGUGAUCG
RNAcentral lists this long non-coding RNA (415 nucleotides) under Panax ginseng (ginseng). RNAcentral describes it as "long non-coding RNA (PGIN_LNC002535)". Lineage: Eukaryota; Viridiplantae; Streptophyta; Magnoliopsida; Apiales; Araliaceae. The record is from RNAcentral.